UGAAUGGCACCUUUUUGAGUAGG
This 23-nucleotide microRNA is filed under the name Canis lupus familiaris (dog). RNAcentral describes it as "Cfa-Mir-506-P4_3p (mature (guide))". The record is from RNAcentral. Lineage: Eukaryota; Metazoa; Chordata; Mammalia; Carnivora; Canidae.